This 450-nucleotide ribosomal RNA is filed under the name Triticum aestivum (bread wheat). RNAcentral's name for it is "partial small subunit ribosomal RNA". Lineage: Eukaryota; Viridiplantae; Streptophyta; Magnoliopsida; Poales; Poaceae. The record is from RNAcentral.
AUGGCUCAUAAUAAAUCACCUGACCAAGAUGGGUUCACUGCUGAGUUUUAUUAGCACUUCUCAGACUUGAUUAAACAUGAUUUGAAAUCUACGUUUGAUGAUUUUCAUAAAGUAAAGUUAGAUAUUAUAAGGCUCAACUAUGGGAUUAUCACUUUACUGCCUAAAAGUGAAGAUGCUAAUCAGAUAAAAAAAUAUAAACCUAUCUGCCUUUUGAAAGUUAAAUUUAAAAUCUUUACAAAAGCAUUGAUGAACAGGUUAAAUGGGGUUGCUAGAGAUGUUGUAUCUCCCAUUCAAACUGCCAUCAUCAAGCGCAGAUGUAUUAUGGAGGGGGUCCUUGUUCUACAUGAAGCUUUGGAUAGUGUUCAUACAAAAAAAGAUGUUUUGUUGUUUAAUGUGAUUUCGAAAAAGCCUAGGCUAUGGUUAAGUGGCCUUUUCUCUUUCAAAUGCUGA